Molecule: ribosomal RNA, 451 nt
Filed under: uncultured organism
Description: partial 16S ribosomal RNA
Rfam family: Bacterial small subunit ribosomal RNA
Source: RNAcentral
GUACACUCCUACGGGAGGCAGCAGUGGGGAAUAUUGGACAAUGGGCGCAAGCCUGAUCCAGCCAUGCCGCGUGAGUGAUGAAGGCCCUAGGGUUGUAAAGCUCUUUCACCGGAGAAGAUAAUGACGGUAUCCGGAGAAGAAGCCCCGGCUAACUUCGUGCCAGCAGCCGCGGUAAUACGAAGGGGGCUAGCGUUGUUCGGAAUUACUGGGCGUAAAGCGCACGUAGGCGGAUCGAUCAGUCAGGGGUGAAAUCCCAGGGCUCAACCCUGGAACUGCCUUUGAUACUGUCGAUCUGGAGUAUGGAAGAGGCGAGUGGAAUUCCGAGUGUAGAGGUGAAAUUCGUAGAUAUUCGGAGGAACACCAGUGGCGAAGGCGGCUCACUGGUCCAUUACUGACGCUGAGGUGCGAAAGCGUGGGGAGCAAACAGGAUUAGAAACCCGAGUAGUCCCAU